CAGCAUGUUUGUCCAGUCUGGUUUACAAAUGGGCAGCUCAACAAGUGGUGCUGUCAUAAAGUUCGAAAGCUGCAGCAGAUUUGUGAUCUCACUUCGAAUCUGAGAUCCGAUGUUCCUCUCGAGCGUUGUUUAAUUAGCAAAACAUAUGAAGAUACAAAAUUAUUUUAGUUUCAUUGUUUUACCUUGUGGAAUCUGCUGAAGGUUGUUUUCCCUUUUGGUUGUUGAAAAUGCGAAUCUUCGCAAUCUUGUUGGUGGGACUGGGACUGACGGAAGCGCGCGACAAAGAUAAAGGUGUUGGCAACAAGGAUGCUGUGGAUUAUGCAAAACGUUCGGCCAUCUCCAUUUAUCACCACGACGAAAUUGCUCAAAGUAAGUUAUGCGAAUUAUUUGCUAGACAAGAAUUAUUGCAUGUUACUCAUAUAAU
Long non-coding RNA from Paramacrobiotus metropolitanus, 424 nucleotides. RefSeq lists it as uncharacterized. The transcript is spliced from 3 exons. The record is from RefSeq and is a predicted model, not a curated record. Lineage: Eukaryota; Metazoa; Tardigrada; Eutardigrada; Parachela; Macrobiotidae.